This 468-nucleotide ribosomal RNA is filed under the name uncultured bacterium. Its description in RNAcentral is "partial 16S ribosomal RNA". It matches the Rfam family "Bacterial small subunit ribosomal RNA", at positions 28 to 507 of the family's 1533-position model. The record is from RNAcentral.
GACGAACGCUGGCGGCGUGCUUAACACAUGCAAGUCGAACGGAAAGGCCCUGCUCUUGUGGGGUGCUCGUGUGGCGAACGGGUGAGUAACACGUGAGUAAACUGCCCUUGUCUUUGGGAUAUCUUCACGAAAAUCGGGCUCUUAUCGGAGAGAAUCUUCUGCUGCAUGGUGGGGGUUGGUAAGUUUCGGCGGUUGGGGAUGGACUAGCGGCUUACCCGCUUGUUGGUGGGGUUGUGGCUUUCAAAGGCUUUGACGGGUAGCCGGCCUGAGAGGGUGACCGGCCACAAUGGGACUGAGGGACGGCCCAGACUCGUACGGGAGGCAGCAGGGGGGAAUAUUGCACAAUGGGCGGAAGCCUGAGGCAGCAACGCCGCGUGCGGGAUGACGGCCUUCGGGUUGUAAACCGCUUUCGCCUGUGACGAAGCGUGAGUGACGGUAAUGGGUAAAGAAGCACCGGCUAACUACGUG